CCUACGGGGGACAGCAGUGAAGAAUAUUGGUCAAUGGACGAGAGUCUGAACCAGCCAAGUAGCGUGAAGGAUGACUGCCCUAUGGGUUGUAAACUUCUUUUAUAAAGGAAUAAAACGAGGCACGUGUGCCUUUUUGCAUGUACUUUAUGAAUAAGGAUCGGCUAACUCCGUGCCAGCAGCCGCGGUAAUACGGAGGAUCCGAGCGUUAUCCGGAUUUAUUGGGUUUAAAGGGAGCGUAGAUGGGUUGUUAAGUCAGUUGUGAAAGUUUGCGGCUCAACCGUAAAAUUGCAAUUGAUACUGGCAGUCGUGAGUACAGUUGAGGUAGGCGGAAUUCGUGGUGUAGCGGUGAAAUGCUUAGAUAUCACGAAGAACCCCGAUUGCGAAGGCAGCUUACUAAACUGUGACUGACAUUGAUGCUCGAAAGUGUGGGUAUCAAACAGGAUUAGAUACCCCUGUAGUC
Molecule: ribosomal RNA, 460 nt
Filed under: uncultured bacterium
Lineage: Bacteria
Description: partial 16S ribosomal RNA
Rfam family: Bacterial small subunit ribosomal RNA
Source: RNAcentral